CUGCAAGUCGAACGGUUCCUUCGGGGAUAGUGGCGGACGGGUGAGUAACGCGUGAGGAUCUGGCUACAGGACGGGGACAACGAAUGGAAACGUUCGCUAAUACCCGAUGUGCCGAGAGGUGAAAGAUUUAUUGCCUGUAGAUGAACUCGCGUCGGAUUAGCUAGUUGGUGGGGUAAGGGCCUACCAAGGCGACGAUCCGUAGCUGGUCUAAGAGGAUGAUCAGCCACACUGGGACUGAGACACGGCCCAGACUCCUACGGGAGGCAGCAGUGGGGAAUUUUCCGCAAUGGGGGGAACCCUGACGGAGCAACGCCGCGUGCGGGAGGAAGGCCUUCGGGUUGUAAACCGCUUUUCUCUGGGAAGAAGAA
This 368-nucleotide ribosomal RNA is filed under the name uncultured bacterium. RNAcentral's name for it is "bacterial SSU rRNA". It matches the Rfam family "Bacterial small subunit ribosomal RNA", at positions 55 to 452 of the family's 1533-position model. The record is from RNAcentral.